Caerostris darwini is the source of this 73-nucleotide non-coding RNA. Lineage: Eukaryota; Metazoa; Arthropoda; Arachnida; Araneae; Araneidae. The record is from the annotation of a GenBank genome assembly.
UUCCAUGUGGUCUAGUGUUUAGGCUUCCUGACAUUCACCCAGGCGGCCCAGGUUCGAUUUCUGGCAUGCGAAG